This 252-nucleotide ribosomal RNA is filed under the name Cupriavidus sp. STW8-1. RNAcentral's name for it is "partial 16S ribosomal RNA". Lineage: Bacteria; Pseudomonadati; Pseudomonadota; Betaproteobacteria; Burkholderiales; Burkholderiaceae. The record is from RNAcentral. RNAcentral also lists the same sequence under 1 other name.
CACACGCGGCAUUGCUGGAUCAGGGUUGCCCCCAUUGUCCAAAAUUCCCCACUGCUGCCUCCCGUAGGAGUCUGGGCCGUGUCUCAGUCCCAGUGUGGCUGAUCGUCCUCUCAGACCAGCUACUGAUCGUCGCCUUGGUAGGCCUUUACCCCACCAACUAGCUAAUCAGACAUCGGCCGCUCCUAUCGCGCGAGGCCGUUACCGGUCCCCCGCUUUCACCCUCAGGUCGUAUGCGGUAUUAGCUAAUCUUUC